GGAAUCUGGAGACAGGUGCUGCAUGGCUGUCGUCAGCUCGUGUCGUGAGAUGUUGGGUUAAGUCCCGCAACGAGCGCAACCCUUGCCUUUAGUUGCCAGCAGUUCGGCUGGGCACUCUAAAGGGGACUGCCGGUGUUAAACCGGAGGAAGGUGGGGAUGACGUCAAGUCCUCAUGGCCUUUAUGACCAGGGCUACACACGUACUACAAUGGCCGAUACAAAGGGCAGCGACACUGCGAGGUGAAGCCAAUCCCGUAAAAUCGGUCUCAGUCCGGAUUGGAGUCUGCAACUCGACUCCAUGAAGUUGGAAUCGCUAGUAAUCGUGGAUCAGCAUGCCACGGUGAAUACGUUCCCGGGCCUU
This 360-nucleotide ribosomal RNA is filed under the name uncultured Desulfobulbus sp. RNAcentral describes it as "bacterial SSU rRNA". It matches the Rfam family "Bacterial small subunit ribosomal RNA", at positions 1023 to 1382 of the family's 1533-position model. Lineage: Bacteria; Pseudomonadati; Thermodesulfobacteriota; Desulfobulbia; Desulfobulbales; Desulfobulbaceae. The record is from RNAcentral.